GAACGUGCAUCGUGAUAGGGAUAGAUUAUUGCAAUUAUUAAUCUUGAACGAGGAAUUCCUAGUAAACGCAGUUCAUCAAACUGCAUUGAUUACGUCCCUGCCCUUUGUACACACCGCCCGUCGCACCUACCGAUUGAAUGGUCCGGUGAAGCYUCGGGAUUGUGACCAGUGCCUUUACUGGUGUUGGUUGCGAGAACUUGUCUAAACCUUAUCAUUUAGAGGAAGGUGAAGUCGUAACAAGGUUUCCGUAGGUGAACCUGCGGAAGGAUCA
RNAcentral lists this ribosomal RNA (271 nucleotides) under Sellaphora capitata. RNAcentral describes it as "partial 18S ribosomal RNA". It matches the Rfam family "Eukaryotic small subunit ribosomal RNA". Lineage: Eukaryota; Bacillariophyta; Bacillariophyceae; Sellaphorales; Sellaphoraceae. The record is from RNAcentral.